RNAcentral lists this transfer RNA (73 nucleotides) under Trichonephila inaurata madagascariensis. RNAcentral describes it as "tRNA-Asp". The record is from RNAcentral. Lineage: Eukaryota; Metazoa; Arthropoda; Arachnida; Araneae; Nephilidae.
GCAUCCUUGGUAGUAUAGUGGUCAAUAUCCCCGCCUGUCACGCGGAGACGGGGUUCGAUUCACCGAGGAAGUA